This is a long non-coding RNA of Humulus lupulus (European hop), 1077 nucleotides long. RefSeq lists it as uncharacterized. The transcript has 3 exons. Lineage: Eukaryota; Viridiplantae; Streptophyta; Magnoliopsida; Rosales; Cannabaceae. The record is from RefSeq and is a predicted model, not a curated record.
GGAAAUUUUACUUUCAAAAUUCAAUAGCAUAAAGUAACAAGCAAAUAAUAAUUGAUAAUAAUGUAGCGAACCAAACUUUUUUUAUUUUAUUUAAAUAUUUUAUUAAUUUUUUAUUUUAUAAAUAUUUAAAUGGUUGUUUUAUUUUAUUUAAUUGUUAAGUUGAAUAAUUGAUUUUAUUUUUAUUAUUUUGUGCAUGUGACUUGUGUGAUUGUUUGUGUGUGUGUGAGUGCAUGGAAAGUAAGCGUGCAUGAAUGAGGAUAAGAUUGAACCUAUACUAGAUCAUGGAAAUGGGAGGUUUCUUUGUUUAGAGAUUGCUAUCAAUAAAGGGAGAAGGUUCUAGAAAGCAUGUGUUCAUAUUAUGAAAAGAAAACAAAAGAGAAGGGAGAGAGAGAAGGUGGCGUGAGUGUGUGGUGAGAAAGCAAGAGUAUGAUUUCCUUAUUUAGCAAGGUUGACCACAUUUUUCUUUUAUUUUAUUUUAAGACAAAUUAAGGGAAAUAAAAAUUUGGAUUGUUUCCUUUUCCCUUAACUUAGGGUUCGACCACUAGGGCCUUUAAAAAGAAAAGUAAGAGCUUGAAAGCUCAUUUUCUUGGUGACUGCCAAAAACACAAGGAAGAUGAGAGAAAGGAAAAGAAAAUGUGAAGAGAAAGAGAGUGAGACUUUGGAACCCUAGAAGAGAAAAAGGACGGAAAAUCAAGAUCAUUGUGGUGCUAGCUAGAGUAUCAAGAGGCUUAACCCUAGUGCUAAGUUUUGUUCUACACCAUCAAGAGGUAGGCGUUAGGUUACUUGUGUGGCACGUAUGGUGACCUAGGAGUUUCCAUUGUCAUAAGUAUGUAUGAUGCGGGGAGCCAGUAGACGGGGAUGAUCCAGAAAUGGCAUAGAAUAAUUAUCACUCUAUCUUUUAUUUAUUUUCAAAUUCAGUGGGUUGUAUUUAUUUUCUACAAAACAGCAUAAAGGCAUUUUGUUUUGUUUUUAAACAUUUGAGCCCAUAUUACAUUAUUUUAAUAAGGCCCCACUGAACUUUCGGACUAUUAUUGACAUUUUUCUAUACAAGUAUCAAAAAUUGUAUUUUUGUAAAGU